GGUCAAGUUAUUAAGGGUGCAGGGCGGAUGCCUUGGCACUAGGAGCCGAUGAAGGACGUGAUAAGCUGCGAUAAGCUUCGGGGAGUUGCACGUAAACUUUGAUCCGAAGAUUUCCGAAUGAGGAAACUCACUUAGAGUAAUGUCUAAGUAUCAUUAAGUGAAUACAUAGCUUAAUGAGGGGAACUCAGGGAACUGAAACAUCUAAGUACCUGAAGGAAGAGAAAGAAAUUCGAUUCCGUAAGUAGCGGCGAGCGAACGCGGAUUAGCCCAAACCAAUAAAGUUUUCUUUAUUGGGGUUGCGGACAUAUCAUAACGAAGAGGUAUCAUAAUUGAAGAGGUUUGGAAAGACCCACCACAGAAGGUAAUAGUCCUGUAUGUUAAACGAGAAGACUUCAGAUAUGAUCCAGAGUACCACGGGACACGUGAAACCCUGUGGGAAGCAGGAGGGACCACCCUCCAAGGCUAAAUACUACCUAGUGACCGAUAGCGUAUAGUACCGUGAGGGAAAGGUGAAAAGAACCCCGGGAGGGGAGUGAAAUAGAACCUGAAACCCUGCACUUACAAGCUGUGGAAGCACAUUUCUUGUGUGACCGCGUACUUUUUGUAGAACGGGCCAACGAGUUACGUUAAGUAGCAAGGUUAAGCACUUAAGGUGUGGAGCCGUAGCGAAAGCGAGUUUUAACUGAGCGUUCAGUUACUUGACGUAGACCCGAAACCGGGCGACCUACCCAUGAGCAGGAUGAAGCGAAAGUAAAAUUUCGUGGAGGUCCGAACCCACGAGCGUUGAAAAGCUCGGGGAUGACUUGUGGGUAGCGGUGAAAUUCCAAUCGAGCCCGGAGAUAGCUGGUUCUCCCCGAAAUAGCUUUAGGGCUAGCCUCAAGGUGAGAGAUACGGAGGUAGAGCACUGAAUGUCCUAGGGGGUAUUGCACCUACCGAAGACUAUCAAACUCCGAAUGCCGUCAUCUUAUACUUGGGAGUCAGACUGUGGGUGAUAAGAUUCAUAGUCGAAAGGGCAACAGCCCAGAUCGUCAGCUAAGGUCCCUAAAUGUAAGUUAAGUGGUAAAGGAUGUGGGAUUGCACAGACAACCAGGAUGUUGGCUUAGAAGCAGCCACUCAUUCAAAGAGUGCGUAAUAGCUCACUGGUCGAGUGAUCCUGCGCCGAAGAUUUCCGGGGCUAAAACUUACUACCGAAGCUACGGCAUCAGUAAUGAUGGGUAGGGGAGCUUCCCAUACGGGUUGAAGCAUGACCGUAAGGACAUGUGGACAGUAUGGGAGUGAGAAUGUUGGCAUGAGUAGCGAGAUGUGGGUGAGAAUCCCACAGGCCGUAAACCCAAGGUUUCCAGGGGAAGGUUCGUCCGCCCUGGGUUAGUCGGGACCUAAGCUGAGGCCGAAAGGCGUAGGUGAUGGACAACAGGUUGAUAUUCCUGUAC
This 1430-nucleotide ribosomal RNA is filed under the name Clostridioides difficile. RNAcentral describes it as "partial 23S ribosomal RNA". It matches the Rfam family "Bacterial large subunit ribosomal RNA", at positions 1 to 1444 of the family's 2925-position model. The record is from RNAcentral. Lineage: Bacteria; Bacillati; Bacillota; Clostridia; Peptostreptococcales; Peptostreptococcaceae.